UUUAAUGAGAGUUUGAUCCUGGCUCAGGACGAACGCUGGCGGCGUGCCUAAUACAUGCAAGUAGAACGCUGAGGUUUGGUGUUUACACUAGACUGAUGAGUUGCGAACGGGUGAGUAACGCGUAGGUAACCUGCCUCAUAGCGGGGGAUAACUAUUGGAAACGAUAGCUAAUACCGCAUAAGAGUAAUUAACACAUGUUGGUUAUUUAAAAGGAGCAAUUGCUUCACUGUGAGAUGGACCUGCGUUGUAUUAGCUAGUUGGUGAGGUAAAGGCUCACCAAGGCGACGAUACAUAGCCGACCUGAGAGGGUGAUCGGCCACACU
RNAcentral lists this ribosomal RNA (323 nucleotides) under Streptococcus agalactiae. RNAcentral's name for it is "bacterial SSU rRNA". It matches the Rfam family "Bacterial small subunit ribosomal RNA", at positions 1 to 314 of the family's 1533-position model. Lineage: Bacteria; Bacillati; Bacillota; Bacilli; Lactobacillales; Streptococcaceae. The record is from RNAcentral.